GACGAACGCUGGCGGCGUGCUUAACACAUGCAAGUCGAACGGAAAGGCCCUGCUUUUGUGGGGUGCUCGAGUGGCGAACGGGUGAGUAACACGUGAGUAACCUGCCCUUGACUUUGGGAUAACUUCAGGAAACUGGGGCUAAUACCGGAUAGGAGCUCCUGCUGCAUGGUGGGGGUUGGAAAGUUUCGGCGGUUGGGGAUGGACUCGCGGCUUAUCAGCUUGUUGGUGGGGUAGUGGCUUACCAAGGCUUUGACGGGUAGCCGGCCUGAGAGGGUGACCGGCCACAUUGGGACUGAGAUACGGCCCAGACUCCUACGGGAGGCAGCAGUGGGGAAUAUUGCACAAUGGGCGGAAGCCUGAUGCAGCAACGCCGCGUGCGGGAUGACGGCCUUCGGGUUGUAAACCGCUUUCGCCUGUGACGAAGCGUGAGUGACGGUAAUGGGUAAAGAAGCACCGGCUAACUACGUGCCAGCAGCCGCGGUGAUACGUAGGGUGCGAGCGUUGUCCGGAUUUAUUGGGCGUAAAGGGCUCGUAGGUGGUUGAUCGCGUCGGAAGUGUAAUCUUGGGGCUUAACCCUGAGCGUGCUUUCGAUACGGGUUGACUUGAGGAAGGUAGGGGAGAAUGGAAUUCCUGGUGGAGCGGUGGAAUGCGCAGAUAUCAGGAGGAACACCAGUGGCGAAGGCGGUUCUCUGGGCCUUUCCUGACGCUGAGGAGCGAAAGCGUGGGGAGCGAACAGGCUUAGAUACCCUGGUAGUCCACGCUGUAAACGGUGGGUACUAGGUGUGGGGUCCAUUCCACGGGUUCCGUGCCGUAGCUAACGCUUUAAGUACCCCGCCUGGGGAGUACGGCCGCAAGGCUAAAACUCAAAGGAAUUGACGGGGCCCCGCACAAGCGGCGGAGCAUGCGGAUUAAUUCGAUGCAACGCGUAGAACCUUACCUGGGUUUGACAUGGAUCGGAAGCGCUCAGAGAUGGGUGUGCCUCUUUUGGGGUCGGUUCACAGGUGGUGCAUGGCUGUCGUCAGCUCGUGUCGUGAGAUGUUGGGUUAAGUCCCGCAACGAGCGCAACCCUUGUUCACUGUUGCCAGCACGUUAUGGUGGGGACUCAGUGGAGACCGCCGGGGUCAACUCGGAGGAAGGUGGGGAUGACGUCAAGUCAUCAUGCCCCUUAUGUCAGGGCUUCACGCAUGCUACAAUGGCUGGUACAGAGAGUGGCGAGCCUGUGAGGGUGAGCGAAUCUCGGAAAGCCGGUCUCAGUUCGGAUUGGGGUCUGCAACUCGACCUCAUGAAGUCGGAGUCGCUAGUAAUCGCAGAUCAGCAACGCUGCGGUGAAUACGUUCCCGGG
RNAcentral lists this ribosomal RNA (1342 nucleotides) under uncultured bacterium. Its description in RNAcentral is "16S ribosomal RNA". It matches the Rfam family "Bacterial small subunit ribosomal RNA", at positions 28 to 1378 of the family's 1533-position model. The record is from RNAcentral.